RNAcentral lists this long non-coding RNA (1123 nucleotides) under Equus caballus (horse). RNAcentral describes it as "lncRNA (ENSECAG00000057720.1)". Lineage: Eukaryota; Metazoa; Chordata; Mammalia; Perissodactyla; Equidae. The record is from RNAcentral.
AUCUCAUGUGUUUUAGUUAAUAAACAUGAUUAAAACCGUUCAGGAAAAAACUCUGCUAGAUCAGUUUUUUCCUAACAAAACACAAUAAUAAAUGCCAUUAUUAAUUAUGUACCACUUUGUUAUUACUUAAAGAAGGGAAUUUCAGGCUGGGAGGGCAACUUAUUCCUAGAAGUAAUGUUCAAGAAGUCAGUACCUAGGAGCUUCAAUUACUCCCUGAUGAAAUGACAGGCAGCCGUCUCGGCAGCAGCCUCGUUCCCGUCCAGCUCAGGAUUGGCUGUUUCAUUAGCACCAUGUGUUUGCCAGCACUAAAGUUCUGUCCCUUGUUGCAAUAGAAACUCCAACUUUUAGGGUUUAUCAUUCAACUGUUAGAAAAAAAGAAAAGGUUCUGAUAGAUAGACAAGCAAAGUAAAUCAGUCCUCAGUGUGGGUGCCAGCACGGGUGUUUGGGAGUUACACGAGACACAGGAAGAAAGAGAAGCCUUAUGCACUGCAGCUGCCACGCCGGUUCCGACCAUACAGGAGGGUGGAGAUGCUGCGAUUCCGUGCUGCGCUUUCUACGGAACACGUUGCAGGCCCACAAGUGGGACUGCAAUGAGUCAGGGUGAUAGGCCAACAAGUUUUUCAAAGAAAGAAAAAUUGAGUGGUCACAAAACCUGGCAUCCAGUUGGCUAAGUUAGUUCUAAGCUGCAUUUCACAGACGAUUAGGUCUCUCGGCCACUGUACAGCUGGAAGGAGCAGAAGACCUAGACAGUCAGGAGCCCCAGGCCACUCUGUGCACUCUGACUGACCAGCUCUAGCCUCCUGUGUUCUCCCACACAGGGACACACUCCGGGGCUGUUUGCUCCAUUGUUUAUUAGGGCACGCUCUCUCGACCACAAGCGACAGAAACCAAAUUCAAUCAAGUUUAAGGAAGAAAAGAAAAGAAAAGAAAAGGAGAAGAGCUUUUGGCCGGUGAAGCUAAAAAUCCAGGUGUGGUUGUGGAGUAGAAGUUCUGGCUCCUGCUAUGCUGAAACUAAAUGCUCCAACGGUGUGGCCAGGGCUCCAUGUCAGCUCUGUCUCCCCCCGUGUUGGCUUCAUAUCUGGGUUGUCUCUCAAUGUGGUGGGAAGGAUGGUCCUGGUUUCUA